This 109-nucleotide ribosomal RNA is filed under the name uncultured bacterium. Its description in RNAcentral is "partial 16S ribosomal RNA". It matches the Rfam family "Bacterial small subunit ribosomal RNA", at positions 1373 to 1482 of the family's 1533-position model. The record is from RNAcentral.
CCCGGGUCUUGUACACACCGCCCGUCACACCAUGGGAGCGGGAUGUACCAGAAGUAGGUAGGCUAACCGCAAGGGGGCCGCUUACCACGGUGCGUUUCGUGACUGGGUG